RNAcentral lists this ribosomal RNA (409 nucleotides) under bacterium. Its description in RNAcentral is "partial 16S ribosomal RNA". It matches the Rfam family "Bacterial small subunit ribosomal RNA", at positions 355 to 776 of the family's 1533-position model. The record is from RNAcentral.
UGGGGAAUAUUGCACAAUGGGCGAAAGCCUGAUGCAGCGACGCCGCGUGAGGGAUGACGGCCUUCGGGUUGUAAACCUCUUUCAGCAGGGACGAAGCGCAAGUGACGGUACCUGCAGAAGAAGCACCGGCUAACUACGUGCCAGCAGCCGCGGUAAUACGUAGGGUGCAAGCGUUGUCCGGAAUUACUGGGCGUAAAGAGUUCGUAGGCGGUGUGUCGCGUCGUUUGUGAAAACCAGCAGCUCAACUGCUGGCUUGCAGGCGAUACGGGCAGACUUGAGUACUGCAGGGGAGACUGGAAUUCCUGGUGUAGCAGUGAAAUGCGCAGAUAUCAGGAGGAACACCGGUGGCGAAGGCGGGUCUCUGGGCAGUAACUGACGCUGAGGAACGGAAGCGUGGGUAGCGAACAGG